UUCGGACCUGGAUUGGCCAAAAAGUGCAUGGGUUGGUGGUGCUGCCCCUUUUAACAGCGGCCUGCCAAAGCCUGGCAUCAGUCCGCCACAUGGCAGAGACCACAGAAGCCUGCAUCACUGCCUACUUCAAGGAAAUGUCUAAACAGUGAACAGACUGUGAAGAACGAGAUGAAAGUGCUCCUCAUCCUCAGCACUGGCCGCCUUCCUGUCAGUUCAGGUGCCUGCAGAAGACCAGAUUCGUCUGAAGCCCAGCUCUGAAUUACAUCUCACUCCGAAAGCUCAGCAGGUGCUGGCAGCUCUUGAGUCCAUGACGCUGAGUAAGCAGUAUGUGGAGUACCAGGACCAGAUACUGCAUGCUGUCCAGUUUAUAAGACAUCCUGGCCACUGCCUUCAGAACGGGAAAAGCUUCCUGGCCUUUUUUGUUAACCGUCUCUACCCAGAAGUGCAUUAUCUGGACAACAUCCGGUAGUGG
Molecule: long non-coding RNA, 472 nt
Filed under: Rattus norvegicus (Norway rat)
Lineage: Eukaryota; Metazoa; Chordata; Mammalia; Rodentia; Muridae
Description: long non-coding RNA NONRATT013608
Source: RNAcentral